UACGAACCGUGCGAACGUUGUUCGGAAUCACUGGGCUUAAAGGGCGCGUAGGCGGGCCAGCAAGUCAGGGGUGAAAGCCCACGGCUCAACCGUGGAAGUGCCUCUGAUACUGUUGGCCUCGAGGGAGGUAGGGGCGUGCGGAACUUCCGGUGGAGCGGUGAAAUGCGUAGAUAUCGGAAGGAACAUCGGUGGCGAAAGCGGCUCACUGGACCACAACUGACGCUGAGGCGCGAAAGCUAGGGGAGCAAACAGG
Molecule: ribosomal RNA, 253 nt
Filed under: uncultured bacterium
Lineage: Bacteria
Description: partial 16S ribosomal RNA
Rfam family: Bacterial small subunit ribosomal RNA
Source: RNAcentral